Molecule: ribosomal RNA, 250 nt
Filed under: uncultured bacterium
Lineage: Bacteria
Description: partial 16S ribosomal RNA
Rfam family: Bacterial small subunit ribosomal RNA
Source: RNAcentral
UACGAGGGGUGCUAGCGUUGUUCGGAAUCACUGGGCGUAAAGCGUACGUAGGCGGACUGACAAGUCAGGGGUGAAAUCCCAGAGCUCAACUCUGGAACUGCCUUUGAAACUGUCAGUCUGGAGGCCGAGAGAGGAUAGUGGAAUUCCUAGUGUAGAGGUGAAAUUCGUAGAUAUUAGGAGGAACACCAGUGGCGAAGGCGACUGUCUGGCUCGGUUCUGACGCUCAAGUACGAAAGCGAGGGGAGCAAAC